Mastomys coucha (southern multimammate mouse) is the source of this 128-nucleotide small nucleolar RNA. Lineage: Eukaryota; Metazoa; Chordata; Mammalia; Rodentia; Muridae. The record is from RefSeq and is a predicted model, not a curated record.
UUCAGUGUUGAUAUCAGUUAAGGGAAACCUCUCUAUUCUAUUAAUUAAACUAUUGGACUUUGAAAUUGGCUGAGGGAAAUGACUGAAUAGAGAGUAUUAGAAUACUCAUAUACUUCUUGCCUAGAUAG